This 821-nucleotide long non-coding RNA is filed under the name Triticum aestivum (bread wheat). RNAcentral's name for it is "long non-coding RNA (TAES_LNC003047)". Lineage: Eukaryota; Viridiplantae; Streptophyta; Magnoliopsida; Poales; Poaceae. The record is from RNAcentral.
UCAUAGCUGGGCCUCUAUACUUUGAGCAGCAGCAGUCAUUCAUCACCGAUCACCAGCACAGCCGCGCAUCCACCGUUGCUAGCAAGGUCGACCAAGCAGCACCGAGAUGGCUGCUGCCUUCUCCUCCACCGUCGGUGCCCCGGUGCGUAUGACACACUGAUCGAUCGAUCGAUUGAUUGAUUGAGUCUCUUGCUUAAUGAUGAUAUCACAUCAAUGUCUUCAGCGGCAUCUCAUGUGUGUAUGUGUAACGUAUACAGGCUUCUACGCCGACCAACUUCCUUGGGAAGAAGCUCAAGAAGCAGGUGACCUCGGCCGUGAACUACCAUGGCAAGAGCUCCAAGGCCAACAGGUUCACAGUCAUGGCAGCGGAAAACCUCGACGAGAAGAGGAACACGGACAAGUGGAAGGGUCUUGCGUACGAUAUCUCCGACGACCAGCAGGACAUCACCAGAGGGAAGGGCAUCGUGGACUCGCUCUUCCAGGCGCCCACGGGCGACGGCACCCACGAGGCCGUCCUCAGCUCCUACGAGUACGUCAGCCAGGGACUCAAGAAGUACGACUUCGACAACACCAUGGGAGGCUUCUACAUCGCUCCUGCUUUCAUGGACAAGCUUGUUGUCCAUCUCUCCAAGAACUUCAUGACCCUGCCCAACAUCAAGGUACGUACGACGUGCAUCAUCACCUACUAUUUAAUUUAACUGGCUAGAUUAGCAGCAAGAAAAUCAUUCUGAUUCUGAAACUGACCUGGAAUCGAAAUUCAGAUCCCACUCAUCUUGGGUAUCUGGGGAGGCAAGGGUCAAGGAAAAUCAUUCCAGUGCGAG